GAUGAACGCUGGCGGCGUGCUUAACACAUGCAAGUCGAACGGGAAUUCUUUUAUUGAAACUUCGGUCGACUUAAUUUAAUUCUAGUGGCGGACGGGUGAGUAACGCGUGGGUAACCUGCCUUAUACAGGGGGAUAACAGUCAGAAAUGGCUGCUAAUACCGCAUAAGCGCACAGAGCUGCAUGGCUCAGUGUGAAAAACUCCGGUGGUAUAAGAUGGACCCGCGUUGGAUUAGCUGGUUGGUGGGGUAACGGCCCACCAAGGCGACGAUCCAUAGCCGGCCUGAGAGGGUGAACGGCCACAUUGGGACUGAGACACGGCCCAGACUCCUACGGGAGGCAGCAGUGGGGAAUAUUGCACAAUGGGGGAAACCCUGAUGCAGCGACGCCGCGUGAAGGAAGAAGUAUCUCGGUAUGUAAACUUCUAUCAGCAGGGAAGAUAGUGACGGUACCUGACUAAGAAGCCCCGGCUAACUACGUG
This 478-nucleotide ribosomal RNA is filed under the name uncultured bacterium. RNAcentral describes it as "partial 16S ribosomal RNA". It matches the Rfam family "Bacterial small subunit ribosomal RNA", at positions 28 to 507 of the family's 1533-position model. The record is from RNAcentral.